CCAAGAACUGGCACAGUGUAGUGGAUAGUGUGUCAGGCUUGGAUUUUGGUAGACCUGGGUUCAAACCCCCACUUCUACCAUGGA
Molecule: transfer RNA, 84 nt
Filed under: Sphaerodactylus townsendi
Lineage: Eukaryota; Metazoa; Chordata; Lepidosauria; Squamata; Sphaerodactylidae
Description: tRNA-Pro
Source: RNAcentral